This 233-nucleotide ribosomal RNA is filed under the name uncultured bacterium. RNAcentral describes it as "partial 16S ribosomal RNA". It matches the Rfam family "Bacterial small subunit ribosomal RNA", at positions 122 to 354 of the family's 1533-position model. The record is from RNAcentral.
CAAUCUGCCUUGGAGUGGGGAAUAACGGUUGGAAACAGCCGCUAAUACCGCAUGAUGCGUCUGGGAGGCAUCUCUCUGGACGCCAAAGAUUUAUCGCUCUGAGAUGAGCUCGCGUCUGAUUAGCCAGUUGGCGGGGCAACGGCCCACCAAGGCGACGAUCAGUAGCCGGACUGAGAGGUUGGCCGGCCACAUUGGGACUGAGACACGGCCCAGACUCCUACGGAAGGCAGCAG